This 75-nucleotide transfer RNA is filed under the name Flavobacteriales bacterium. RNAcentral describes it as "tRNA-Arg". It matches the Rfam family "tRNA". From Rfam's summary of the family: Transfer RNA (tRNA) molecules are approximately 80 nucleotides in length. Their secondary structure includes four short double-helical elements and three loops (D, anti-codon, and T loops). Further hydrogen bonds mediate the characteristic L-shaped molecular structure. tRNAs have two regions of fundamental functional importance: the anti-codon, which is responsible for specific mRNA codon recognition, and the 3' end, to which the tRNAs corresponding amino acid is attached (by aminoacyl-tRNA synthetases). tRNAs cope with the degeneracy of the genetic code in two manners: having more than one tRNA (with a specific anti-codon) for a particular amino acid; and 'wobble' base-pairing, i.e. permitting non-standard base-pairing at the 3rd anti-codon position. Lineage: Bacteria; Pseudomonadati; Bacteroidota; Flavobacteriia; Flavobacteriales. The record is from RNAcentral.
CCAUCAGAAGCUGAAAUGGAUGCCAGCACCGCUUUGCGAAAGCGGAGGAUGAAGGUUCGAGUCCUUCCUGAUGGU